UCAGGGCUGCCUGGUGCGCCAGGAGCCAUAUUGCUCGGGGCCUUACGGUCUCCUAGGGAGCUGUCCCUGCCUCGGCCCGUGGGCUGGGGCAUCACGGCGCCCACCUACUUAUGUAGGUUCCCGGGGAUCUCCGCUCCAGCGGCCAAGGCGGCCCUACC
Molecule: non-coding RNA, 158 nt
Filed under: Pyruvatibacter mobilis
Lineage: Bacteria; Pseudomonadati; Pseudomonadota; Alphaproteobacteria; Hyphomicrobiales; Parvibaculaceae
Description: 6S / SsrS RNA
Rfam family: 6S / SsrS RNA
About the family: E. coli 6S RNA was the first non coding RNA to be sequenced, but its function was unknown until recently.
Source: Rfam by way of RNAcentral